UUGAACGCUGGCGGCAGGCCUAACACAUGCAAGUCGAGCGGAUGAAGGGAGCUUGCUCCUGGAUUCAGCGGCGGACGGGUGAGUAAUGCCUAGGAAUCUGCCUGGUAGUGGGGUAUAACGUCCGGAAACGGGCGCUAAUACCGCAUACGUCCUGAGGGAGAAAGUGGGGGAUCUUCGGACCUCACGCUAUCAGAUGAGCCUAGGUCGGAUUAGCUAGUUGGUGGGGUAAAGGCCUACCAAGGCGACGAUCCGUAACUGGUCUGAGAGGAUGAUCAGUCACACUGGAACUGAGACACGGUCCAGACUCCUACGGGAGGCAGCAGUGGGGAAUAUUGGACAAUGGGCGAAAGCCUGAUCCAGCCAUGCCGCGUGUGUGAAGAAGGUCUUCGGAUUGUAAAGCACUUUAAGUUGGGAGGAAGGGCAGUAAGUUAAUACCUUGCUGUUUUGACGUUACCAACAGAAUAAGCACCGGCUAACUUCGUG
RNAcentral lists this ribosomal RNA (483 nucleotides) under uncultured bacterium. RNAcentral describes it as "partial 16S ribosomal RNA". It matches the Rfam family "Bacterial small subunit ribosomal RNA", at positions 30 to 507 of the family's 1533-position model. The record is from RNAcentral.